GUGAGGCAAAUGAGGAACCUCAUGUUUAAUGGGUAAUUUGCGUCUGAAUAUCAUUGAUGCUAUCACCUUGGAGAUCUGAUGCCUCUC
Macadamia integrifolia is the source of this 87-nucleotide small nucleolar RNA. The record is from RefSeq and is a predicted model, not a curated record. Lineage: Eukaryota; Viridiplantae; Streptophyta; Magnoliopsida; Proteales; Proteaceae.